Long non-coding RNA from Odontomachus brunneus, 493 nucleotides. RefSeq lists it as uncharacterized. The transcript is spliced from 3 exons. NCBI's taxonomy places the organism in Eukaryota, Metazoa, Arthropoda, Insecta, Hymenoptera, Formicidae. The record is from RefSeq and is a predicted model, not a curated record.
GGUGAUAUAACCUAAAAUCCUUAGAAUACAGAGUCUGUCCAUUCGGGCCGGAUUCCCUUAAAAUAGCAUGUGUGUGUGUGUCAUGAGGGAGAGUGAGCAGAAAAAAUAAGUUUACUCGUCGUUUCGUAGUGUUUUUGGCUAAAAAAGAUAUGAAAAGAAUAAGAUGCCGUCUUACUGCAUACGGAAGUGUUCCAAUUCAUGGAAAAUAGGUUAUUCAAUUCGUUUCCCAAAAAAUUUGAAACGAAAAAGCAAUGGAUUAUUAAUAUUGGUAGAAAUGAUUUUGACUUCCCAAGUAGCAGAAUGACGUCAAUAAGACGUCUUCUGACGUCACUCUGCUACCUGGGUUCUCUAAAAUGUUUUAUAUACGAGGUAUAUUUUCUACCAGAGAUGUAGGAAAAACCAUGUAGUCCCAACAAUUUUUUUGGAAAAUAAAUCAAAUAAAAAUAUAAAUAGUGCCUCUUUAGAUGCAAAUGACAUUGAUUCUGCUUGUUUA